Molecule: transfer RNA, 73 nt
Filed under: Felis catus (domestic cat)
Lineage: Eukaryota; Metazoa; Chordata; Mammalia; Carnivora; Felidae
Also listed under: 4 other names
Rfam family: tRNA
About the family: Transfer RNA (tRNA) molecules are approximately 80 nucleotides in length. Their secondary structure includes four short double-helical elements and three loops (D, anti-codon, and T loops).
Source: Rfam by way of RNAcentral
ACCUGGCUGGCUCAGUUGGUGGAGCAUGUGACUUUUGAUCUUCAGGUGGUGGAUUCGAGCACCAUGUUGGGUG